RNAcentral lists this ribosomal RNA (567 nucleotides) under Nonomuraea sp. 413H05. RNAcentral describes it as "bacterial SSU rRNA". It matches the Rfam family "Bacterial small subunit ribosomal RNA", at positions 93 to 672 of the family's 1533-position model. The record is from RNAcentral. Lineage: Bacteria; Bacillati; Actinomycetota; Actinomycetes; Streptosporangiales; Streptosporangiaceae.
GAGCGGCGAACGGGUGAGUAACACGUGAGUAACCUGCCCCUGACUCUGGGAUAAGCCUGGGAAACUGGGUCUAAUACCGGAUAUGACGCGCUCCGGCAUCGGAUGUGCGUGGAAAGUUUUUUCGGUUGGGGAUGGACUCGCGGCCUAUCAGCUUGUUGGUGGGGUAGUGGCCUACCAAGGCGACGACGGGUAGCCGGCCUGAGAGGGCGACCGGCCACACUGGGACUGAGACACGGCCCAGACUCCUACGGGAGGCAGCAGUGGGGAAUAUUGCGCAAUGGGCGGAAGCCUGACGCAGCGACGCCGCGUGGGGGAUGACGGCCUUCGGGUUGUAAACCUCUUUCAGCAGGGACGAAGUUGACGUGUACCUGCAGAAGAAGCGCCGGCUAACUACGUGCCAGCAGCCGCGGUAAUACGUAGGGCGCAAGCGUUGUCCGGAAUUAUUGGGCGUAAAGAGCUCGUAGGUGGCUUGGUCGCNGUCUGCCGGGAAAGCCCCGCAGCUUAACUGCGGGUCUGCGGGUGGNAUACGGNCCGGCUAGAGGUAGGUAGGGGCAAGCGGAANUUCCU